This 350-nucleotide ribosomal RNA is filed under the name uncultured Latescibacterota bacterium. RNAcentral's name for it is "bacterial SSU rRNA". It matches the Rfam family "Bacterial small subunit ribosomal RNA", at positions 1033 to 1382 of the family's 1533-position model. Lineage: Bacteria; Pseudomonadati; Candidatus Latescibacterota. The record is from RNAcentral.
GACAGGUGCUGCAUGGCUGUCGUCAGCUCGUGUCGUGAGAUGUUGGGUUAAGUCCCGCAACGAGCGCAACCCUUAUCCCCAGUUGCCAUCAGGUAAAGCUGGGAACUCUGGGGAGACUGCCGGUGAUAAACCGGAGGAAGGCGGGGAUGACGUCAAGUCCUCAUGGCCCUUACAUCCCGGGCUACACACGUGCUACAAUGGCAGGUACAGAGGGCUGCGAAGCCGCGAGGUGGAGCGAAUCCCAGAAAACCUGUCUCAGUCCGGAUUGAAGUCUGCAACUCGACUUCAUGAAGGCGGAAUCGCUAGUAACCGCGAAUCAGCAGGUCGCGGUGAAUACGUUCCCGGGCCUU